UACGUAGGGGGCUAGCGUUGUCCGGAAUCAUUGGGCGUAAAGCGCGUGUAGGCGGCUCGAUAAGUCCGCUCUGAAAGUCCAGGGCUCAACCCUGGGAUGCGGGUGGAUACUGUCGGGCUCGAGUCCGGAAGAGGCGAGUGGAAUUCCCGGUGUAGCGGUGAAAUGCGCAGAUAUCGGGAGGAACACCAAUGGCGAAGGCAGCUCGCUGGGACGUGACUGACGCUGAGACGCGAAAGCGUGGGGAGCGAACAGG
RNAcentral lists this ribosomal RNA (253 nucleotides) under uncultured bacterium. Its description in RNAcentral is "partial 16S ribosomal RNA". It matches the Rfam family "Bacterial small subunit ribosomal RNA", at positions 524 to 776 of the family's 1533-position model. The record is from RNAcentral.